AUGAACGCUGGCGGCGUGCCUAAUACAUGCAAGUCGAGCGAACGGACGAGAAGCUUGCUUCUCUGAUGUUAGCGGCGGACGGGUGAGUAACACGUGGAUAACCUACCUAUAAGACUGGGAUAACUUCGGGAAACCGGAGCUAAUACCGGAUGAUAUUUUGAACCGCAUGGUUCAAAAGUGAAAGACGGUCUUGCUGUCACUUAUAGAUGGAUCCGCGCUGCAUUAGCUAGUUGGUAAGGUAACGGCUUACCAAGGCAACGAUGCAUAGCCGACCUGAAAGGGUGAUCGGCCACACUGGAACUGAGACACGGUCCAGACUCCUACGGGAGGCAGCAGUAGGGAAUCUUCCGCAAUGGGCGAAAGCCUGACGGAGCAACGCCGCGUGAGUGAUGAAGGUCUUCGGAUCGUAAAACUCUGUUAUUAGGGAAGAACAUAUGUGUAAGUAACUGUGCACAUCUUGACGGUACCUAAUCAGAAAGCCACGGCUAACUACGUG
This 496-nucleotide ribosomal RNA is filed under the name uncultured bacterium. RNAcentral describes it as "partial 16S ribosomal RNA". It matches the Rfam family "Bacterial small subunit ribosomal RNA", at positions 29 to 507 of the family's 1533-position model. The record is from RNAcentral.